AGUGAACGCUGGCGGUAGGCCUAACACAUGCAAGUCGAACGGCAGCACAGUAAGAGCUUGCUCCUACGGGUGGCGAGUGGCGGACGGGUGAGGAAUACAUCGGAAUCUACUUUUUCGUGGGGGAUAACGUAGGGAAACUUAUGCUAAUACCGCAUACGACCUACGGGUGAAAGCAGGGGAUCUUCGGACCUUUCGCGAUUGAAUGAGCCGAUGUCGGAUUAGCUAGUUGGCGGGGUAAAGGCCCACCAAGGCGACGAUGCGUAGCUGGUCUGAGAGGAUGAUCAGCCACACUGGAACUGAGACACGGUCCAGACUCCUACGGGAGGCAGCAGUGGGGAAUAUUGGACAAUGGGCGCAAGCCUGAUCCAGCCAUACCGCGUGAGUGAAGAAGGCCUUCGGGUUGUAAAGCCCUUUUGUUGGGGAAGAAAAGCAGCAGGUUAAUACCCCGCUGUUCUGACGGUACCCAAAGAAUAAGCACCGGCUAACUUCGUG
Molecule: ribosomal RNA, 492 nt
Filed under: uncultured bacterium
Lineage: Bacteria
Description: partial 16S ribosomal RNA
Rfam family: Bacterial small subunit ribosomal RNA
Source: RNAcentral